Molecule: non-coding RNA, 247 nt
Organism: Schizosaccharomyces pombe (fission yeast)
Lineage: Eukaryota; Fungi; Ascomycota; Schizosaccharomycetes; Schizosaccharomycetales; Schizosaccharomycetaceae
Source: the annotation of a GenBank genome assembly
UAAAAGCUUAAUUUUAGGCGAAAGAAAUUAGCUAUAACGUUUGUAUAAGGAAAAAAGUAUUGUGUAUCAAAUCGCUAGAUCGAACAUGCAUUGUAAUAACAGCAUAUUUAACAGUGAAAUUGACCAUAAAUCUCAAAAGAAGGAUUAUAUAAAUUGAUCUUUAGUCUUUAAGAGCAAAAGCAGUUAAACGGUUUUGUAGAACAGGUAGUGAAACGUCAAUAAAAGGAUCGAAUUUUAGAUAUUCAAU